RNAcentral lists this small RNA (728 nucleotides) under Histoplasma capsulatum var. duboisii H88. RNAcentral describes it as "Histoplasma capsulatum H88 hypothetical RNA". Lineage: Eukaryota; Fungi; Ascomycota; Eurotiomycetes; Onygenales; Ajellomycetaceae. The record is from RNAcentral.
GCCACAGUUCUUCCUCGCAAGUGAAGCAACGUCUCCGGCUUUCGCGGGGAUGGUACUGCAAUACCUCAUGGAUCGAAUUCAUGAAGUGGGUACUUCGGAUGUGUCCAAAUCAAGGAUUCUGCUGAGGAUGUUUAAGCUGUCGUUCAUGGCAGUCACACUUUUCUCCUCACAGAACGAGCAGGUUUUGCAUCCCCACCUCACCAAAAUCGUUACCAAGUGCAUAGAGCUCUCCGUCACCGCCGAGGAGCCGAUGAAUUAUUUCCUCCUCCUCCGCUCGCUGUUCCGAAGCAUAGGUGGAGGCAGAUUUGAACUCCUUUACAAGGAAAUCUUACCACUUCUUGAGAUGCUUCUUGAGACCUUCAAUAACCUUCUCCUGAGCGCCCGGAAACCACAAGAACGGGAUCUUUACGUCGAACUCACUUUAACAGUCCCAGCCCGUCUUAGCCAUCUACUUCCCCAUCUUAGUCACUUAAUGCGUCCCAUUGUCGUUGCACUUCGGGCUAGCUCCGAACUCGUUGGUCAGGGUCUCCGCACUCUCGAGCUUUGUGUUGACAACUUGACUGCAGCGUAUCUAGACCCUAUAAUGGCGCCGAUCGUAGAUGAACUGAUGACCGCUCUUUGGGACCAUCUUCGUCCAAACCCUUAUAGCCAUUUCCACGCACAUACUACCAUGCGAAUCCUGGGGAAACUAGGUGGCCGCAAUCGGAAAUUCCUCAACCAUCCGCCAG